UUGUGUGAUUCCAGCUGACCUACGGCACGGUGUGAGGAGGACAUAUGUGGUGUGGUUUGAUAGUAGAAUAUGCUGCAUCAUGCGUGACCUCCCCACGCCGUGUUGUAUCUUUCCAUCUGGACGUUCAUCAG
This 131-nucleotide microRNA precursor is filed under the name Ornithorhynchus anatinus (platypus). RNAcentral's name for it is "microRNA oan-mir-1421aj precursor". The stretch from base 28 to 101 matches the Rfam family "mir-1421 microRNA precursor family". The record is from miRBase by way of RNAcentral. Lineage: Eukaryota; Metazoa; Chordata; Mammalia; Monotremata; Ornithorhynchidae.